GCUAAGGCAACCGGGCGGCGCCGGCGCGAGCGGGAAGGAGGCGCCCGUCGAGUUUUUACGUGCUAGCCUGCGAGACUUGAGGAGACUUCAGGCGUGGUCAUUCCUGAGCCCCACAGACCACGGCCUCUGCUCCAGUCGGUACUCCUGCCCCAGGGGGGCCAUGGGCCGGAUCUCGGGGCUCGUGCCCUCUCGCUUCCUGACGCUCCUGGCGCAUCUGGUGGUCGUCAUCACCUUGUUCUGGUCGCGGGACAGCAACAUCCACGCCUGCCUGCCUCUCACGUUCACCCCCGAGGAGUACGAGAAGCAGGACAUUCAGCUCGUGGCAGCGCUGUCCGUCACUCUGGGCCUCUUUGCAGUGGAGCUGGCCGGUUUCUUCUCAGGGGUUUCCAUGUUCAACAGCACCCAGAGCCUCAUCUCCAUUGGGGCUCACUGUAGUGCAUCUGUGGCCCUGUCCUUUUUCAUAUUCGAGCGUUGGGAGUGUACCACGUACUGGUACAUUUUCGUCUUCUGCAGUGCCCUCCCAGCUGUCACUGAAAUGGCAUUGUUCAUCAGCGUCUUUGGACUGAAAAAGAAACCUUUCUGAGACCUUCGUGACGGGAACACAGGGAUGACGGUUCGAGGAACACGGGACCACUCACCAUUCCAGGACCGAGGAAGGCAGUCUUCAGCCCUCAAAUUGCAUUUGAUGGAGGAUGUCGGUGUUAGGGAUUUUCACUGCUGGGAGGUAGUCCUGCAUGUGGGUGAGAUGGGAACGUGCCAGUUAUCCCUUACGGCUUUGCUGGAGUCGCAAACGUGUGACCGUCAACAGGAGACCGGUCGAGUCGCGUUAACAGCGUAACCCUGGGCAGCCGGGAAAGAAACAAUCUCCAAGAUUGUGACAAAAGGACUUUGUGGAAUGGCUCCUGUCGUUUGCUCCCAUUUGUGUAAAAAGUGGGAAAGCACAGACCGGCCCGUGGGAAAACCAUCUCUGGAAGGAGCCAAGACAAACCCUAACAUUCCUGAAGGAUGUGAGCCUGCGGUUGCCGGUGCCCCCCAUCUGGAAAUGAAGCCAAGUCGGAGUCCCGCAAAGCUAGAAACAGAGACAGCAGAUUCCCCGAUGAUGUCACGGGAGUGCCUGGGUCCUGCUAUUUCCAGCUCCUGGUGUCAGCACAGUGCCCGGCAUCGGAGAACGAAGGAGCCCUCGUUUCACGGAUGAGGAACACGGGGCCCCAGGAGAAAGCCAUUUGCCUCACGCAAAUAUGGAGAGCUGGGGCUAGAUAGGUCCCAAGUUUCCUGGCUGUCAGGCCAAAUCAGUCGCUCGAUUCAACAAGUCUUCAUUGAAUAUCUCCCACCUGCCAGGCUCCGGACAUGGCAUGUGAGACCGAAGGAAAUAAGGAUGAUGUGGCCCCUUGCCAACCACACAUACAGUCGGGACCCCCCUUCCCCCCAACAGAGGAACUUAUUAACCCCGGUGAGCCUCUAAGGAAUUGAGGGUUGCAGAGUCCGGAUGUGCGACCAGGAGGCCUCCCAGGCUCCCAGUCCCAGAAGACUGGGAUCUGCCUGUGUCUCGUCUUCCCCACACCAGGCUCUGGCGUAUGGCCUCCCCACCACCCAAGCCCACGCUGCUCUGUUUCCCAGAGGCAGGAGGCCCGGGCCUGUCCUGCUGCGGUGACAGGAGCCAGCUCCCUGGCCACACUGGUCACAGAUGAUCGGAGCUUCAUCAGCUCAAACAGGGCUGUCCUCACAGGAACGGUGGGCACACAGGCCCUGCCCGAACCCAUUCUUCCCAAACAGGAGCCUGGCGUUCACCAUUAGCGGUCCAUUUGCCUGCUGUGCUGUUUGUCUUUUAAAACACUCCUCACUGAAACUAUAGUUCACCAUCAUUCAUUCAUUAUUCAUUGGCCUGCCUUGUUUCUGGCACUGUGCUUGGGACUCAUGCAGGGAGAAUAGAUUAAAAAGGUACCGCUUUGUGUAUAUAUAUUGUUUUAUACACACACACAAA
Prionailurus viverrinus (fishing cat) is the source of this 1981-nucleotide RNA transcript. It is a transcript of the gene named transmembrane protein 107, with no coding region annotated. The transcript has 8 exons. NCBI's taxonomy places the organism in Eukaryota, Metazoa, Chordata, Mammalia, Carnivora, Felidae. The record is from RefSeq and is a predicted model, not a curated record.